This 264-nucleotide ribosomal RNA is filed under the name uncultured bacterium. Its description in RNAcentral is "partial 16S ribosomal RNA". It matches the Rfam family "Bacterial small subunit ribosomal RNA", at positions 90 to 354 of the family's 1533-position model. The record is from RNAcentral.
UCUUAGUGGCGGACGGGUGAGUAACGCGUGGGUAACCUGCCUUAUACAGGGGGAUAACACCUGGAAACAGGUGCUAAUACCGCAUAAGCGCACAGGGCCGCAUGGCCCGGUGUGAAAAACUCCGGUGGUGUAAGAUGGACCCGCGUCUGAUUAGCUUGUUGGCGGGGUAGAGGCCCACCAAGGCGACGAUCAGUAGCCGGCCUGAGAGGGUGGACGGCCACAUUGGGACUGAGACACGGCCCAAACUCCUACGGGAGGCAGCAG